This 781-nucleotide long non-coding RNA is filed under the name Citrus sinensis (sweet orange). RNAcentral describes it as "long non-coding RNA (CSIN_LNC000139)". Lineage: Eukaryota; Viridiplantae; Streptophyta; Magnoliopsida; Sapindales; Rutaceae. The record is from RNAcentral.
GUAUCUUCAUGAGACAGAGGUAAAAUCUUCACUAAACUCUUAGCAUCAUUGAAACAUGUGUUGUAAAAGCAAGAAUGUUCAUAGUAUAUUGUUAAUCUAUUAAUGUAAACUUUUCAUAGAAAAUAUAUUGUCAGUGUAGUACUAUAUUCAGCAUCGUCUUCAGACAUUAUUUUUUUCUUUUUUGCCUUUUUCUUUGGCAGUUGGAUUCCUAGAGAGCAUGUUUGUUUUUAUCCCUGGUAUAAAAAAUAGAUGUUGCUUAUUGCCUUUAUAUGAAGGAGAGACUCCUUAUUGUUGUUGAUGCCUUCCUCUCUCAUGUUGGUAGCAUUGCAUGAAGGAAAUUAAGAUUGAGCACUCGAGUGAAUGUCCAAGAACAGCAUGUAUUGAGACACAAUGUAUUUAUUCUUCCGAGGAAGGACAGAUCUUGCAAAAGAUUGAUGAUCUUUCGAGAUCGUUGGAUGAGCCCGAUGAUAGUAACGAAGCCGAUGUUACUGAUGAUUCUGAUGCUAGCAACGAUUCUUAUAAUAACAACUUGCCAAAAUUUAUUAAUUUUAUUUGAGCCUAUAUUUGCUAUUUGGGUAUUUUGGGAUUGUGGUAGCCUUAUUGGAUUCUCUUGUAAUGUUUCAUUAGUCCAAUGUUCAUAGCUUCUAAUGAACCAAUUAAAGGGUAUUGCUAUUAAACUAACAUUUCAAUACAAAGUGUUGAUUUAUGACUUGUGUGUGGAUUGUACAUGGAACUUCUUGAAGCUACCAAAACUAAAAAUUUAGUUCACUGAUGAAAAAAU